This 432-nucleotide ribosomal RNA is filed under the name uncultured bacterium. RNAcentral's name for it is "partial 16S ribosomal RNA". It matches the Rfam family "Bacterial small subunit ribosomal RNA", at positions 29 to 507 of the family's 1533-position model. The record is from RNAcentral.
AACGAACGCUGGCGGCAUGCCUAACACAUGCAAGUCGAACGAGACCUUCGGGUCUAGUGGCGCGCGGGUGCGUAACGCGUGGGAACCUGCCCUUAGGUUCGGAAUAACUCCCCGAAAGGGGUGCUAAUACCGGAUAAUGUCUUCGGACCAAAGAUUUAUCGCCUUUGGAUGGGCCCGCGUUGGAUUAGCUAGUUGGUAGGGUAAAAGCCUACCAAGGCGACGAUCCAUAGCUGGUCUGAGAGGAUGAUCAGCCACACUGGGACUGAGACACGGCCCAGACUCCUACGGGAGGCAGCAGUGGGGAAUAUUGGACAAUGGGCGAAAGCCUGAUCCAGCAAUGCCGCGUGAGUGAUGAAGGCCUUAGGGUGGUAAAGCUCUUUUACCCGGGAUGAUAAUGACAGUACCGGGGAAUAAGCUCCGGCUAACUCCGUG